Molecule: non-coding RNA, 31 nt
Filed under: Rattus norvegicus (Norway rat)
Lineage: Eukaryota; Metazoa; Chordata; Mammalia; Rodentia; Muridae
Source: RNAcentral
AUUGCCUUGGUCAUGGUGUUAACACAGCAAU